This 381-nucleotide ribosomal RNA is filed under the name uncultured eukaryote. RNAcentral describes it as "partial 18S ribosomal RNA". It matches the Rfam family "Eukaryotic small subunit ribosomal RNA", at positions 592 to 976 of the family's 1831-position model. The record is from RNAcentral.
CAAUAGCGUAUAUUAAAGUUGUUGCGGUAAAAAAGCUCGUAGUUGGAUUUCUACCGAAGAUAGCCGGUCGGGUCUUCGACCUUGUAUCUGGUCUUGUCUUUGGUAUCCUCAUAGGGAACGUUUCUGCGCUUUAUUGCGUGGUGCGGUAUCUAUGACUUUUACUUUGAGGAAAUUAGAGUGUUCACGGCAGGCAAACGCCUUGAAUAUAUUAGCAUGGAAUAAUAACAUAGGAUCUUCGUCCUAUUUUGUUGGUUUCUAGGGCUAAGAUAAUGAUUAAUAGGGAUAAUUGGGGGCAUCUGUAUCAACGCGUCAGAGGUGGAAUUCUUGGAUUGCGUUGCGACAAACUACUGCGAAAGCAUUUGCCAAGGAUGUUUUCAUUGA